RNAcentral lists this non-coding RNA (26 nucleotides) under Mus musculus (house mouse). The record is from RNAcentral. Lineage: Eukaryota; Metazoa; Chordata; Mammalia; Rodentia; Muridae.
CUUCCUCCAACAAGGCCACACCUCUU